GACGAACGCUGGCGGCGUGCUUAACACAUGCAAGUCGAACGGAAAGGCCCUGCUUGCAGGGUACUCGAGUGGCGAACGGGUGAGUAACACGUGGGUGAUCUGCCCUGCACUUCGGGAUAAGCCUGGGAAACUGGGUCUAAUACCGGAUAGGCGCCAUUUUUAGUUUGAUGGUUGGAUAGUUUUUUAGGUGUAGGAUGAGCUCGCGGCCGAUCAGCCUGUUGGUGGGGUAAUGGCCUACCAAGGCGGCGACGGGUAGCCGGCCUGAGAGGGUGGGCGGCCACAGUGGGCCUGAGAUACGGCCCAGACUCCUACGGGAGGCAGCGGUGGGGAAUAUUGCACGAUGGGCGCAAGCCUGAUGCAGCGUGGCCGCGUGGGGGAUGACGGCCUUCGGGUUGUAAACUCCUUUCGCUAGGGACGAAGCUUUUGUGACGGUACCUAGAGAAGAAGCACCGGCUAACUACGUG
Molecule: ribosomal RNA, 464 nt
Filed under: uncultured bacterium
Lineage: Bacteria
Description: partial 16S ribosomal RNA
Rfam family: Bacterial small subunit ribosomal RNA
Source: RNAcentral